Molecule: long non-coding RNA, 2093 nt
Filed under: Numida meleagris (helmeted guineafowl)
Lineage: Eukaryota; Metazoa; Chordata; Aves; Galliformes; Numididae
Description: lncRNA (ENSNMEG00000013602.1)
Source: RNAcentral
CACACAUUCCUCCAGUAGCUCCCAGUUCCUCCCAGUGCCUCCCAGUACCUCCCAGUGCCUCGCAGUUUCUCCUAGUACUUUGCCAGUACCUCCCAGUAUCCUCCCAAUGCCUCUCAGUACCACUGAGUAUUUCCCAGUGCUUCCCAGUACCACCCAGUAUCCUCCCAGUGCUUCGCAGUAUGUCCCAGUACAUCCCAGUAUCUCCCAGUGCCUGCCAGUAUCCACCCAGUGCCUUCCAGUGCCUCCUAGUAUCCUCCCAGUACAUCCCAGUAUCCUCCCAGUGCCCCCCAGUACCUCCCAGUACCUCCCAGUAUCCUCCCAGUGCCUCCCAGUGCCACCCAGUAUCUCCCAGUACCUCCCAGUAUCCUCCCAGUGCUUUCCAGUGCCUCCCAGUAUCCUCCCAGUACAUCCCAGUAUUCUCCCAGUGCCCCCCAGUGCUUCCCAAUGGGGGAAACUGAGGCACGGAUAUCUCCAGUUCCUCCCAGUACCUCCCAGUUACUCCCAGUGGCCCCCACAGCCCUCCCAGUUUCUCCCAGUUCCUCCCAGUGCCUCCCAGUACCCCCCAGUGCCUCCCAAUCACUCCCAGUAUCUCCCAGAGACUCCCAGUACAUCUCAGUAUCCACCAGUAUCUCCCAGUGCCCCCCCAGCGCCCUCCCGGUACCUCCCAGUGCCUCCCAGUCUCUCCCAGUGCUUCCCCAGUUCUUCCCAGUAUCUCCCAGUACCUCCCAGUUCUUCCCAGUUCCAGUGCCCUCCCACUCCCUCCCAGUAUCUCCCAGUGCCCCCCCCACAGCGCCCUCCCAGUCCCUUCCAGUCCCUCCCAGUAUCUCCCAGUGCCCCCCCCAGUUCCUCCCAGUCCCNCAAAUUCCCUUUUUAUUUGGCCCCAAAUCCCCAUUUUCGCCCCCAAAAUCUGCUCUUUUGGCCCCAAAUCUGCCCUGGUGUCCCCAAAUUUCCCCUUUUUAACCCUAAAUCCCCCCCCCCCAGUGUCCCCAAAUCCACUUUUUGGUCCUCCAGGUCCUCCCUUUGUCCCCAAAAUCCCCUUUUUUGGCCCCAAAAAUCCCCUCUCAUUGGCAUCCCCCAUAGUGGGCUCCCGUAAUGCUCCUAAUAGGGGCGCACUGCGGUGGCCCAAUGAAUGGGGAGGUCCCGUACUGUAAUGCUCCUAAUACAGGGGGCUCUGCUCCCGUAAUGCUCCUAAUACAAGGGCUCGUAGCAGCGCCUGGCUCCCGUACUUCUCCUAAUAGAAGCACUUGGCUCCUGUAUUUCCCCUAAUAGCAGCAGCUGGAAGUGUUCCCCCUAACAGUGGCGCGUAGUUGCCGUAUUCUUCCUAAUAGCAGGACCUGAGUCCCGAAUUCCUCCUAAUAGCAGCUUCUGGGUCCCGUAUUCCCUAGAAUAGCAGCAUCUGAGUCCCGUAUUCCCUAUAAUAGCAGCACCUAAGUCCCGUAUUCUUCCUAAUAGCAGCAUUUGAGUCCUGUAUUCCUCCUAACAGCAGCGCUUUUGGUACUGUAUUCAUUGUAAUAGCAGCACCUCUUAUAUCAAAUUCUUACUAAUGGCUGCACCCAGGUCCCGUAUUCCUCCUAAUAGCAGCACCCGGGGCCCAUAUUUUUCAUAAUAGCAGUACCUGUGUUCUGUAUUCUCCCUAAUAGCAGCACCCAAGACCCGUAGUUGCUGUAAUAGCAGCACUUUAAGUACCGCGUUUUCUCUAAUAGUAGCAUUUUUUAUACCGUAAUGCUCCUAAUAGCAGCACCUGAUUCCCAUAUUCCCCUUAAGGGCAACACCCAGGUGUCAUAUUCCCCCUAAUAGCAGGACCUGCAUCCCGUAUUCCCCCUAAUAGCUGCACCUUUUAUACGCCACUCUUCUAGUAGCACCCUUAAGCACCGUAUUCCUCCUAAUAGCAGCGCCUAUGUCCUGUAUUCUCCCUAAUAGCAGCACCCAAAUCCCAUAGUCCUUGUAAUAGUAGCAUUUUUCUUACCACAUUUUCUGUAAUAGCAUGUUUUAUACUGUAAUGCUCCUAAUAGCAGCACCCGAGUCCCAUAUUCCCGUUUAUGGCAGCACCCAGGUGCCAUAUUCCCCCUAACAGCAGGAGCUGGGUCCCGUAU